This 429-nucleotide ribosomal RNA is filed under the name Verrucomicrobiota bacterium. Its description in RNAcentral is "Verrucomicrobia bacterium partial 16S ribosomal RNA". It matches the Rfam family "Bacterial small subunit ribosomal RNA", at positions 355 to 776 of the family's 1533-position model. Lineage: Bacteria; Pseudomonadati; Verrucomicrobiota. The record is from RNAcentral.
UAGGGAAUCUUCCGCAAUGGACGAAAGUCUGACGGAGCAACGCCGCGUGAGUGAAGAAGGAUUUCGGUUCGUAAAACUCUGUUGUUAGGGAAGAAAAAAUGUAUAGUAACUAUAUACAAAAGAGACGGUACCUAACCAGAAAGCCACGGCUAACUACGUGCCAGCAGCCGCGGUAAUACGUAGGUGGCAAGCGUUGUCCGGAAUUAUUGGGCGUAAAGCGCGCGCAGGUGGUUUAGAAAGUCUGAUGUGAAAGCCCACGGCUCAACCGUGGAGGGUCAUUGGAAACUAAUAAACUGGAGUGAAGGAGAGAAAAGUGGAAUUCCUAGUGUAGCGGUGAAAUGCGUAGAGAUUAGGAGGAACACCGGUGGCGAAAGCGGCUUUUUGGCCUGCAACUGACACUGAGGCGCGAAAGCGGGGGGAGCAAACAGG